UACGUAGGCAGCGAGCGUUGUUCGGAAUUACUGGGCGUAAAGAGUGUGUAGGCGGUGUUCCCAGUCUGUUGUGAAAUCUCCCGGCUUAACUGGGAGGGUGCAGCGGAAACUAGAAUGCUAGAGGGUGGGAGAGGUAAGCGGAAUUCCUGGUGUAGCGGUGAGAUGCGUAGAUAUCAGGAGGAACACCUGUGGUGUAGACAGCUUACUGGACCACUUCUGACGCUGAGACACGAAAGCGUGGGUAGCAAACAGG
RNAcentral lists this ribosomal RNA (253 nucleotides) under uncultured bacterium. RNAcentral describes it as "partial 16S ribosomal RNA". It matches the Rfam family "Bacterial small subunit ribosomal RNA", at positions 524 to 776 of the family's 1533-position model. The record is from RNAcentral.